RNAcentral lists this ribosomal RNA (292 nucleotides) under uncultured bacterium. RNAcentral describes it as "partial 16S ribosomal RNA". It matches the Rfam family "Bacterial small subunit ribosomal RNA", at positions 505 to 796 of the family's 1533-position model. The record is from RNAcentral.
GUGUCAGCCGCCGCGGUAAGACAGAGGUUGCAAACGUUGUUCGGAAUUACUGGGCAUAAAGCGCACGUAGGCGGUCCGUUAAGUCAUGUGUGAAAUCCCCCGGCUCAACCGGGGAAUUGCGCCUGAUACUGGCGGGCUAGAGGUCGAUAGGGGUGAGCGGAACUCCAGGUGGAGCGGUGAAAUGCGUAGAUAUCUGGAGGAACACCGGUGGCGAAAGCGGCUCACUGGAUCGAAACUGACGCUGAGGUGCGAAAGCUAGGGUAGCAAACGGGAUUAGAAACCCCCGUAGUCC